AGAGUUUGAUCCUGGCUCAGAACGAACGCUGGCGGCAGGCCUAACACAUGCAAGUCGAGCGGGCAUCCUUCGGGAUGUUAGCGGCGGACGGGUGAGUAACGCGUGGGAACGUGCCCUUUGCUACGGAAUAGCCUCGGGAAACUGAGAUUAAUACCGUAUGUGCCCUUCGGGGGAAAGAUUUAUCGGCAAAGGAUCGGCCCGCGUUGGAUUAGGUAGUUGGUGGGGUAAUGGCCCACCAAGCCGACGAUCCAUAGCUGGUUUGAGAGGAUGAUCAGCCACACUGGGACUGAGACACGGCCCAGACUCCUACGGGAGGCAGCAGUGGGGAAUCUUAGACAAUGGGGGAAACCCUGAUCUAGCCAUGCCGCGUGAGCGAUGAAGGCCUUAGGGUUGUAAAGCUCUUUCAGUGGGGAAGAUAAUGACGGUACCCACAGAAGAAGCCCCGGCUAACUCCGUGCCAGCAGCCGCGGUAAUACGGAGGGGGCUAGCGUUGUUCGGAAUUACUGGGCGUAAGCGCACGUAG
RNAcentral lists this ribosomal RNA (523 nucleotides) under uncultured bacterium. Its description in RNAcentral is "bacterial SSU rRNA". It matches the Rfam family "Bacterial small subunit ribosomal RNA", at positions 8 to 574 of the family's 1533-position model. The record is from RNAcentral.